ACCUGGCCACUGAAUAUUUUAAAUGGCCGCAGUAUAUUGACUGUGCAAAGGUAGCAUAAUAAUUAGUUUUUUAAUUAAAAGCUUGUAUGAAAGGUUGGACGAAGUAAAUUCUGUCUCUAUUUAAUUUAAAGUAGAAUUUAAUUUUUAAGUUAAAAAGCUUAAAUUUUAUUAAAAGACGAGAAGACCCUAUAGAUCUUUAUAAAUUAUUAUUUGAAUUUAAUAUAGUAUUAUUUAUUAUUCAUUUAAUGAUUUAUUUUAUUGGGGUAAUAAAAAGAUUAAAUUAAUUCUUUUAUGUUAUUAACAUUAAUUUAUGAAUUAUUGAUCCAAUUUUAUUGAUUAAAAGAUUAAGUUACCUUAGGGAUAACAGCGUAAUUUUUUUUGAGAGUUCAUAUCGAUAAAAAAGUUUGCGACCUCGAUGUUGGAUUAAAAAUUAUCUUAGGUGCAGAAGUUUAAGAUUUUGGUCUGUUCGACCAUUAAAUUUU
Molecule: ribosomal RNA, 482 nt
Filed under: Sinaspidytes wrasei
Lineage: Eukaryota; Metazoa; Arthropoda; Insecta; Coleoptera; Aspidytidae
Description: partial 16S ribosomal RNA
Rfam family: Bacterial large subunit ribosomal RNA
Source: RNAcentral